UAGGGAAUCUUCGGCAAUGGACGAAAGUCUGACCGAGCAACGCCGCGUGAGUGAAGAAGGUUUUCGGAUCGUAAAACUCUGUUGUUAGAGAAGAACAAGGACGUUAGUAACUGAACGUCCCCUGACGGUAUCUAACCAGAAAGCCACGGCUAACUACGUGCCAGCAGCCGCGGUAAUACGUAGGUGGCAAGCGUUGUCCGGAUGUAUUGGGCGUAAAGCGAGCGCAGGCGGUUUCUUAAGUCUGAUGUGAAAGCCCCCGGCUCAACCGGGGAGGGUCAUUGGAAACUGGGGGACUUGAGUGCAGAAGAGGAGAGUGGAAUUCCAUGUGUAGCGGUGAAAUGCGUAGAUAUAUGGAGGAACACCAGUGGCGAAGGCGGCUCUCUGGUCUGUAACUGACGCUGAGGCUCGAAAGCGUGGGGAGCAAACAGG
This 429-nucleotide ribosomal RNA is filed under the name Gemmatimonadota bacterium. RNAcentral's name for it is "Gemmatimonadetes bacterium partial 16S ribosomal RNA". It matches the Rfam family "Bacterial small subunit ribosomal RNA", at positions 355 to 776 of the family's 1533-position model. Lineage: Bacteria; Pseudomonadati; Gemmatimonadota. The record is from RNAcentral.